GCAUGUGGUGGAUGCCUUGGCGAUUACAGGCGAUGAAGGACGCGGUAGCCUGCGAAAAGCUUCGGGGAGCUGGCAAACAAGCUUUGAUCCGAAGAUGUCCGAAUGGGGAAACCCGGCCCUUUUGGGUCACCUCUGACUGAAUACAUAGGUCAUUGGAGCGAACGCGGUGAACUGAAACAUCUAAGUAGCCGUAGGAAAAGAAAUCAACCGAGAUUCCCAGAGUAGUGGCGAGCGAAAUGGGAAGAGCCUUGUACCUUUUAGCAUGACGGUUAGCAAAACAGUCUGGAAAGUCUGGCCAUAGCAGGUGAUAGCCCUGUAUGCGAAAACCGAUGUGUGGAACUAGGGGUACGACAAGUAGGGCGGGACACGAGAAAUCCUGUCUGAAUAUGGGGGGACCAUCCUCCAAGGCUAAAUACUCCUGACUGACCGAUAGUGAACCAGUACCGUGAGGGAAAGGCGAAAAGAACCCCUGUGAGGGGAGUGAAAUAGAUCCUGAAACCGUAUGCGUACAAGCAGUCGGAGCGGACUUGUUCCGUGACGGCGUACCUUUUGUAUAAUGGGUCAGCGACUUAU
Molecule: ribosomal RNA, 573 nt
Filed under: Picochlorum sp. RCC944
Lineage: Eukaryota; Viridiplantae; Chlorophyta; Trebouxiophyceae
Description: partial Bacterial large subunit ribosomal RNA
Rfam family: Bacterial large subunit ribosomal RNA
Source: RNAcentral